UAGGAGCCUAUAUAAGAAAAAGACCCAAAAAUCGGGACUGUCCCUAUAAAAUCGGGACAUCUGGUCACCCUAGUAUUAAGGGCACAUGCACACUCAGCGUUACCGUCACUACUCCCACCAUGUAAGGCUCGAUUUUCAACAGACCUCAAUCCCUAUGUGCCGAGCUCGGUAGAAAAUCUGUCGCUCAGGGUGUGUCUACGCAAGGAGUUCAUCAGGAAUAAUCUGCUUCAAAUUCACACCCUCAUUUAUUCCAGAAUAGUUUCAUGUGUAGACAAGCCACUAGUCUGGGGAGGCCCAGCUUUGCCAGGGGUGGCAAUUCAGAGCAGGGUUAGAUGACAUGAUUAAAAUGCCAGACACGGUUGCGUCUACUGUCCGUAGCAACUCUGCUAGACCCACACUGGGGAAGCGCUAGUGUGGACUACAAACUCUUUUGGGGCAGGGGCUGUCUCUUUGUUCCGUGUUUGUACAGCACCCAGCAUGAUAGGUCCACGGCUGUGGCUCCGAAGCACUACUGCAAAACACAUAAUUAAUUAACAGGUCAGGCCCAAGUAGCUAGAACACACAGGAAUUGACUCAGUUUUAGUUGGCUCUCCAGGCAGUCAGGAGUUUGGCAUAGAAGGGCGUCCAGCAUGGGAGGGAUUUGCAAUCCCUUUGCUGUGUGGAGUGUAUUACACAGAAUUGUAUUUACACAAAGUCAAGUGAUAUAUAGUGAGACUUACAGGCUUUAAGGUCAGAAGGGACCAUUGUGAUCAUCUAGUCUGACCUCCUGCACGUUGCAAGCCACAGAAUCCCAUCCACCCAUCCUGUAAUAGACCCCUAACCUCUGGCUGAGUUACUGAAGUCCUCAAAUCUUGAUUUAAAGACUUCAAGUUACAGAGAAUCCACCAUUUACACUAGUAUUUGACCAACCUGGCUGGGUUUUUUUUAUGGAUUUGCCAGUUGCCAGAAAAAUAAUUUAAUCAGCUGUUUUUUGUUUUAUGUGAGUCUAAAGAUUUGCAUUAUUAGCACAAUCCACUGGGAUAUCUAAUGUUAAAAGUUUUGGUGUCCAAGAUAAAGAUACUGCAGUGUUCCCACUUCCGCAGUUUUAAGCGAUAACAGAUCAAAACUGUUGAAAACACAGCAGCUGUCUGCCCCCCACCAAACCUUUGGAAUGACUGGAGGAAUGGCCUCAGUAUUGAAGUGGUCAAAUGUGAGCUUUGCAUUAGAUGCAACCUCAGCUAUUCCUGUCUGGAAUUCUAUGAUGUUGCCGUUAAAAAUAAGAAAUUGCUAGAAAUGACAAAAUCAAACGGCAAAUACAAAUUAAAGAAAUAGACUCAGUGGCUUCUUUUUAAUAUAUAAAGUUCCAAAAUGCUCACAUUCAUGUAUAUAGUUAAAAUAUAGAUUCAAUGCAGUCUGGGGGGGAAAUAAUCUCAGUGAAGACGGACACAAACAAAGCCGCUUGGAGAACACGCCCAAGUGUUCCCUUUAGGCACCCGUUACGCUCUCUUCCUUGUACAUCCCUGCGCUUUGGAGACGGAAGCCAGCGUUCCCCGUGUUACGAACUCCCAGCUGGCUCAUGUUGCACAUCUGCAUUCAGUCUCGUUUGGAGGCGUUAGCCCAGAGUGGGCAUCCCGCCGAGUUUCCAGGUGUGAAAAAACACAGGAGUUGCAGUUUUUCAGCCGUGAUUCAGCUGCGUUUUUAAAGAAAACAACUCCCCUCGCCUACAGCAGGAAAUCACUGUUUGGAUUUAUGAGGCACCUUUUCCUGACCAUCCUCUCUGGAAAAGCCUUUGCUAGAUCGACAUGGCUGCUCCCUUCCUGACUCCUGCUGGGAGAAUCUGGACAACGGGAGCUUGGAGAAUAAGGUGUAGGCCAGUGGUUCUCAACCAGGGGCACGCGUACAGCUGAGGCUACUCAGAGCUCUUCCAGGGGGGACAUCAACUCAUCCAGAGAUUUGCCUAGUUUUACAACAGGCUGCAGAAAAAGCCCUGGCAAAGUCGGUACAAACUAACAUUUCAGACAAUGACUUAUUUAUCCUGCUCUGUAUACUAUACACUGCAAUGUAAGUACAAUAUUUAUAUUCCAGUCGAUUUAUUUUAUAAUUUAUAUGGUAAGAAUGAGAACAUCAGCAAUUUCUCAGCAAUAUUGUGCUGUGACCCUUUUUGUAUUUUUAUGGCUGGUUUUGUAAGCAAGUAGUUUUGAAGUGAGGUGAAACUUGGGAGUACGCAAGACCAAGCAGACUCCUGAAAGUCAUCUGGAAAGGUUGAGAGCCACUAGUCUAGUCUACUCUACUCUAGAAAAAAGGUUUGCCAAUGUUGCUACUCUAGUAUCAGCAAAGUAGGGUAAGCCAUCUCCUACGGCAGAUGCAGGGUCUACCGUCAAAAACGUGUUUUUGCUGGUAUUGCUUGUAUCAGUUUGCUGAACGAAAGAAGCACUGAAAUUUGCUGGUAUA
Long non-coding RNA from Caretta caretta (loggerhead turtle), 2430 nucleotides. RefSeq lists it as uncharacterized. NCBI's taxonomy places the organism in Eukaryota, Metazoa, Chordata, Testudines, Cheloniidae. The record is from RefSeq and is a predicted model, not a curated record.